This 440-nucleotide long non-coding RNA is filed under the name Panax ginseng (ginseng). Its description in RNAcentral is "long non-coding RNA (PGIN_LNC012897)". Lineage: Eukaryota; Viridiplantae; Streptophyta; Magnoliopsida; Apiales; Araliaceae. The record is from RNAcentral.
CUCCAUACUUUAUAUAAAACUUAUCUACCAAAUUAAGAAUAUGUGCACUGCGAGCCUUCUCGUCAAUUUCGGAUCGGAUGUUGUAGCAGCGGUAGCUCUUUCCUUGCCUGUCCCAACACCUUUAUACGUAUUUUUCUCAACGGACAAUUUUUCUGUUUUUAAAAGUGCCUUGUGUAAGCUGUUGGACCAACAAAACGCACAUUUUUACACACCAUAAAUAGAAACUAAUUUAGCCAUCAAAUUUCUCGAUCUCAUAUUUUGUCGACAUCUUGUAACUCUUAUAAUAACAAAAGUACCAAAUAGCUCUGGUACCAGUUUGUUAUAAAAUUAAGCGCAAAGGUAAUAUUGGAGUUAAAUGAUCACGGGAAUAUUUUGGUGGUAAAAUACAAAUACAUGGCACACACAAAAGAGAAGAAUUUUAAGUGAAAAACCCAAACCAG